RNAcentral lists this long non-coding RNA (620 nucleotides) under Homo sapiens (human). RNAcentral's name for it is "HSALNT0386488". The record is from RNAcentral. Lineage: Eukaryota; Metazoa; Chordata; Mammalia; Primates; Hominidae.
AGCAGAUGUGGGCUCUGUAGAUAAGGACUGGCAGGAAAGUUGUUUACUGAAACUAAAACAGGGAGGCACAAAGGAUAAGGAAGUUAGUUUGGCUUUGGAAGUAGGGAACAAAGAACAAGGACACUGAACAAGCUAAAUCUUUGAAGAGGAACUUCUUUUGUAUCUGACAAAGGUCUUCAAGGAAGAAGGGAGAGAGUGACCUUUCUAGGUUUUAUGGUUGAUGCUGGUGGAGAGGAGUUCUAGUUUCUAAGAUUUACCUUGAGGAAGAAGAACUGUAGUUUCUGUGGCUUGCAGACAAGCAAAGCAAAGCUGAUAAGCAUCAUUAGCAUCCAUUUUAAAUUUAAGCAAACUGAACUCCAAGAGGUUAAGAAACUUGCUCCAAGUGACACAGCUGAGACAUGGUUUCACCAUGUGGCCCAGGCUGGUCUCAAACUCCUGACCUCAAGUGAUCCACUCGCCUUGGCCUCCCAAUGUGCUGGGAUCACAGGCAUCAGCCACCGUACCUGGCCAACAAUGAUGAUGGUGGUGAUGCCAGUCUUGAGCAGCUGCUGCAAAGAUGCCAGCUGAAGUAGGGGAGGUGAGGCCAGGGCUGAGCGCUCUGUGGAGCCAGCAGGGGCUGG